RNAcentral lists this unclassified non-coding RNA (332 nucleotides) under soil metagenome. RNAcentral describes it as "partial contains 5.8S ribosomal RNA, internal transcribed spacer 2, and large subunit ribosomal RNA". The stretch from base 1 to 120 matches the Rfam family "5.8S ribosomal RNA", at positions 35 to 154 of the family's 154-position model. The record is from RNAcentral.
GAUGAAGAACGCAGCGAAAUGCGAUAAGUAGUGUGAAUUGCAGAAUUCAGUGAAUCAUCGAAUCUUUGAACGCACAUUGCUCCCUUUGGUAUUCCUUAGGGCAUGCCUGUUCGAGCGUCAUUUAAACCUUCAAGCUAAGCUUGGUGUUGGGUGACUGUCCGCUUCACUGCGGACUCGCCUCAAAAUUAUUGGCGGCCGGUACAUUGGCUUCGAGCGCAGCAGAAACGCGAACUCGGGCCCGUCGUAUUGGCUCCCAGAAGCUAUCUUCACAAUUUUGACCUCGAAUCAGGUAGGGAUACCCGCUGAACUUAAGCAUAUCAAUAAGCGGAGGA